This 871-nucleotide long non-coding RNA is filed under the name Triticum aestivum (bread wheat). Its description in RNAcentral is "long non-coding RNA (TAES_LNC005857)". The record is from RNAcentral. Lineage: Eukaryota; Viridiplantae; Streptophyta; Magnoliopsida; Poales; Poaceae.
CUCGUAUGAUAAAUCAUGACAACUUAUGUCUUACCAUGCUAUAUUCAUGAAAAAACUAGUGAGGACGCAUCUGUUUUGGCAACAAUUACGAUGGUUCUCACAUGAUUCACGGGCACACAAAAGUAGCAGCAGUUCCCAUAGACGGAUUCAAACAAAGUACUAGCCCUAGAGGGGUCGAUAACAGGCAAGGUUCGGAUAAUUAGACACAAUUCAAACUAUUAUUAAACACUAGUUGGGGCAACUAUUUCAUGCCUCGAUCUAAUUUGGGAUGGACACAAGACGGACCUUGCCAUGAACAUCAUCGAGGACGUCCCGCAGCAGCUCAAUCCUGUGAACCUUCAUGAAGACAACCUUGUGGCCUUGCCACUGAUAAACUUGUUUGUGGAGGCAUGCCACGUCAUCUUCCUGUGUAAGCUUGACAAGAACAGUAUUCCUCACAAACGAAGGAGUAGCUUUGAACUUCUUGUGCUUCAGUACACCCUGGACAACACGCCUGACAACAGUGAGGCUGGAAUACAACUCUUCAUUGGUAUAACCGCAAAUGGCUACCAGGAUCCAACAGCCUAAGAACUCUGUUUUUCCAGUGCGUAUAUUCAGGUCGUCCGCCUCAUAGCAAAUGACAUGUACAACCACACAAUCCUUGUCUACAUCAGGGCUCUAAUUGAAACAGAAACAAAUUCUGAAUUACUUUUCAGUAUAAGAAACACAAGUUAUUUAAACCACUACGUAUACCAUGGCAUCGAAGCUAAUAAAAUUUUACAUUAUUAAUCACCACAUACUUCAUUUUCUAAAAAAAAUCACCACAUACUUAGAUGAAAAACCAUAAUUAAGAUCGGCAAAGAAGGAAAUCACCUUGGUCAGCUCAGCCGGG